UGGGAAAAUGGGAUUUGGGUUGCUGGGACUGGGAUUUGGCCACUGGGAAUGGGAAAUGAAGUCCUCAAAAAUGGGAAUGGGAUUGAGGUAAUGCGAGUCGAUUCCCAAUUUUUCUACGUUUUAAUAUUUUAAAAUACAAUUUUGGUCCGUUUUUGGUGUCUUUGGUUAUGAUUUUUGUUGUUAACUAUAUUAUUCACAGCACUACCUGCGAACAAGAAUACUCUGGCGCCCGGAAUUCUGGGUUUUCUGAUUAUGCGUGUCUCAGAAUGCUGCAAAUGCCAUU
Molecule: long non-coding RNA, 283 nt
Filed under: Paramuricea clavata
Lineage: Eukaryota; Metazoa; Cnidaria; Anthozoa; Malacalcyonacea; Plexauridae
Source: RNAcentral